UACGAGGGUGCAACGUUAUUCGAAUCACUGGCGUAAAGGGUAGCGUAGACGGCGACUCAAGUCAAUCAUUAAAUCUCCUAGCUUAACUAGGAGUCCGUGAUUGAGACUGAGUUGCUUGAGGAUGGAAGAGAGAAGUGGAAUUCUCGGAGUAGCGGUAAAAUGCGUAGAUCUCGAGAGGAACACCGAUGGCGAAGGCAGCUUCUUGGUCCAUUUCUGACGUUGAGGCACGAAAGCGUGGGGAGCAAAC
This 247-nucleotide ribosomal RNA is filed under the name uncultured bacterium. RNAcentral describes it as "partial 16S ribosomal RNA". It matches the Rfam family "Bacterial small subunit ribosomal RNA", at positions 524 to 773 of the family's 1533-position model. The record is from RNAcentral.